GAUGAACGCUGGCGGCGUGCUUAACACAUGCAAGUCGAACGGAGUUAUUUGGAAGCUUGCUUUUGAAUAACUUAGUGGCGGACGGGUGAGUAACGCGUGGGUGACCUGCCUUAUACUGGGGGAUAACACUUAGAAAUCGGGGCUAAUACCGGAUGAUGCAGCGGCACCGCAUGGUGAUGUUGUUAAAGUUCAUGCAGCGCCUGAAGAUGAACUUGCGUCUGAUUAGCUAGUUGGUGAGGUAACGGCCCACCAAGGCAAUGAUCAGUAGCUGGUCUGAGAGGAUGAUCAGCCUCACUGGAACUGAGACACGGUCCAGACUCCUACGGGAGGCAGCAGUGAGGAAUAUUGGGCAAUGCCCGCAAGGGUGACCCAGCAACGCCGCGUGGAGGAUGACGGCCGUAAGGUUGUAAACUCCUGUUAGAGGGGAAGAAUACUCCCGAUCGCCUCGGGAAUUGACUGUACCCUCAGAGGAAGCCCCGGCUAA
This 484-nucleotide ribosomal RNA is filed under the name uncultured bacterium. RNAcentral describes it as "bacterial SSU rRNA". It matches the Rfam family "Bacterial small subunit ribosomal RNA", at positions 28 to 500 of the family's 1533-position model. The record is from RNAcentral.